RNAcentral lists this unclassified non-coding RNA (307 nucleotides) under plant metagenome. RNAcentral's name for it is "partial contains 5.8S ribosomal RNA, internal transcribed spacer 2, and large subunit ribosomal RNA". The stretch from base 1 to 105 matches the Rfam family "5.8S ribosomal RNA", at positions 50 to 154 of the family's 154-position model. The record is from RNAcentral.
GAAAUGCGAUAAGUAGUGUGAAUUGCAGAAUUCAGUGAAUCAUCGAAUCUUUGAACGCACAUUGCGCCCCUCGGUAUUCCGUGGGGCAUGCUUGUUCGAGCGUCAUCUACACCCUCAAGCUCUGCUUGGUGUUGGGCGUCUGUCCCGCCUCCGCGCGCGGACUCGCCCCAAAUGUAUUGGCAGCGGUUCCUUGCCCCCCUCUUUGCGCAGCACAUUGCCAUUCGAGGCGGCGGCGGCCCGCGUCCAACAAGCUCAACCCCCCCGUCUUUGACCUCGGAUCAGGUAGGGAUACCCGCUGAACUUAAGC